Molecule: non-coding RNA, 1978 nt
Organism: Camellia sinensis
Lineage: Eukaryota; Viridiplantae; Streptophyta; Magnoliopsida; Ericales; Theaceae
Source: RefSeq, a predicted model, not a curated record
CCCUGCUGCUGCCUGCAACAAUUAAUCUGGCCUUUGUACACAUUGCCUCUUUUACUGAUCUUUGUUUUUCAUCUCUUAUUCUUGGUGCUAUUGCUGGUCUCUCAUACAGGGAAUCUGCUGCGCAUUGCCAUUUUUAACAUUAGUUACAUAAGAGGCCUUUUUCCUGAGAAAUAUUUCAAUGAUAAGUCUGUUCCUACCUUAAGGUGUUUAUGAUGCAUUGCAGAAGAAAUACCUAAGGACACUGUUGUUCUGUGUUUGUAAAGGAGUGGAAGGUUCAGUGAUUGAGGAAUAUGCAUUUACUUUAAUUCUGAAAGCCAAGAGGUUUCAAUGAAGAUCAAUUGCACUGUGAUUGAUGAUGCCACUGGUGCUAGAAAGGUCUAUACACCUUAUCAUUUUUAUAUAAUUUCUCUUUCAUGUUUCUAAGAAUCUAAUAUAUAUGUUCAGCUUCUUUGUGAAUGUCUACACUAGCAGUGGUAGUUGACUUAUUUUCUUUUUUUAGAUUCUUCUGGAUUUCUGACAUGUCCUGAUAAUUUUAAGUACACUAGUUUGUUGUGCAAACAUUUUAACAAUUAUCCAUGUAGUAUAAUACUUUGUUUUCUUUCUCUCUCAUGCCAGUUUUUGUAUCUUGAUUUUUCAUUGUUUUUCUCUUUCUUCUGUCCAUUUAUUUUCUAUUCAAACCUGACCGAAAGAAAUGUUGUCUUUCUUUCACAUUAUUGAAUUAGCGGACAUUCACUGAGUGUGGAUUAGACUGCUAUAGCCACAUCUGGUGCAUUUGUUUUCUUAGAUUUCUUGCUAACUGCUUGUUUAAGCUUACUAAUUUUGAAGUUAAUAAUUUGGCAUGUUUGAUCUAAUGUACAGAUAUUUGAUGCUGUGGUACAACUCUUCUUCUUCUUUUAUUAUUAUUAUUAUUAUUUUUAACAAUUCUGAUUAUAUCCCUCGUACAGUUACAGCCUUAUAACUACUCUUUUGUUUGUUUGUCUGUUUUUUUUUUUUUCUCUAAUGAUGCUAAAACACGUCUUGUUUCUCAUAUUGUUAGAUGAAUUAUGAGGACUUUUGCCACAUUGCCUCUGUGUGUACAGAACAAAUAGGCCCUAAAUGUCGACGCUUUUUCAGUCCGUCAAACUUCAUGAAGUUCGAGAAAGAUGAGUCAGGAAGAAUUGUCAUCCUGCCAUUUUACCUUUAUGUCAUGCAUACGAGAUGUACACCAGAAAUGGAUUGAAGGAGGGAACUAUGAGCUUUGUAUUGAGGCCGUAAGAGAUUGGGACAUGGUGAAACCAUCUGACCCUCUACGGAUCACUCUGGCUGAUCUAUUGGCUUGCAAAUAGGGUGGAACUGUUGCCAGCAUGCUUGUAGAUGUGCGCGGUUUCUGGGCCCAUGACAAUAGAGAGAAUCUUCUCCAAGAAGAGGGAGAACCGGAAGAAGAAUGAUAGACGCACCGAAUUCACCGUCAGGCAUGUGUUUGCUGUAUCACGAGAGUUUGCAGUGUCAUAUAGGUUAUAAUUUUGUGAAAUAAUGGCACUAGUGGUAGUGUUAGAUUGGAAUCAGGGGCCACAAAAAAUUGAAGGAAUACUUUUGAAAUCAUGUUUUAUGUCAAUCUAGGAACCCUGUACUGCAUGAUUUUUUUAACAGGUAUAUGGAAGGCAGAGCAAAGGUUGUCAUGUUGUGGGUCAGAUUUCAGCUUUUCAACAUAUUGAUGUUCAUGGUUAACUUAGUCCAUCUCUGUUUGGCUGUAGGAGUAGACAACCCCCUUUGGUGCAAACCUAUAGCAGUGAUAAGAACAACUCAACUGCCGUGCCUGUAAGAAUAAUUUUGUAUGAAAAGAAGUAAAGAGUAAGAACAAAAAAAUUAUCACAUUUUCAUGUUGAAAGAUGAAUAAGUCCAUUUGUUUAGUUCUACAUUCCUCGCACUUAUUACAUAUCCUGACUUAGAUAUAUACUUGGAUCUAUAUUAAUUAGAAUAAUAAUUUCAUUUUCUUCAA